ACGGGAACCGCCCAUCGGAGGAAGCCGGGGCGGCAGUAUAAAAGCUCGGAGCGCUCGCUACCCGAAAUCAAAUCCGUGCUGCCGUGAGCGAUCGAGCCUGCUUCGAGAACUCUCUCCAGUACAGUCCUUCGUGCCCUCCAGGUUUCGUUUUCACCUUCGUCCAUUUCGGCGUGGCGAAAAACAAGGCCUGUUGACACCGAGUGCCGUGCGCAACGUGCAGCUGGAUAGCAAGCUCGCCUUCUCUUUGUUUCACGGGCGUCAUCCCAGUCGGACUAUGACCAUGAAGGUGCAGACCGAGCAACAGCAGGUGAUCGGCCUGACCAAGGUGGCGAAAGGGCGCGCAAGCCGCGAGGAGCGCGAACGUGAGCCAGGGUGGCGCCAUACAGGGUCUCCUGGACAAGCUCAAAGAUCUGGUGCCCAACAUGCCCCGUAGCAAGAAGCUUACGAGGCUCGAGAUCAUCCAGAACGUGAUCGACUACAUUCUAGACCUGGAGAUCGCGCUGGAAGCGCAUCCCACACAGCUGUCGUCCUCGGCCCCUGCGGUGUCGACUCGCCAGCCUCUGGGCGUACUCCCUCCCGCCAACAACUCGGCCACCAACGCCCUCAGCGAAGAUGAGGUGACCCACGCCGAAAAAGUAAUUCGGCACUUCGCGGCGCUCGCUCCAGCCGUAGCGUCGACAAACGCCAUUUCGAGCCUGGACCUUUGAGACGCUGGGGAACAAGCGUCUCCCAUCCAUCACAUCGCCCGGGGCCAGGAAUGACCGCCCAGCCCAGGGCCGCAUCUGGCUACCGGCAACCUAGUGCCACUCCUGUGCCGUCGAAACACUGAAUACCACCCAAGUGCAACCAUGUGAUGAUCUCUUGAGGAAUACGUGGAGGAGCGACCCGAAAAGUGGGGGAAGGGUCCAAGUCUCGGAAACAUCGUUAACACAGCCCGGCUCGACGUCCCUACGUACUGCUACCUUUAACUCUCAGAUUUUACUGCUCUCUUCUCUCGAAACUGGUGGUCUGAGAAGCUGGAAGGCUCGCGGCGAAAGCGGAUAAAUGGAACCUGCUCUGCAGACUGCGGGUGUCAAGCCUAACAGUGAACCUGUGCUUCAAGAAUUUCAUCGCACAUGUCUACGUACGCGUCUCCAAAUUUGUCUCUACAGGCGGAUAUUCAUACAGAAAUAUCCGUGAACAGUACCCAAUGAAGGAAAGACCGGAGUUCUCGAAAAGGAUGUCGCCAGAAGAGACUUACGAAGCCAGUCGACAAAAGCCCUCUGAAGACAUCCCAGAAAUGGUGGAUGACAGCUCAACAUGGCAACAGGAGAGCCGCAACAAGGCCGGCGAAAAUAUUAUCGCAGAUGCCCGAAAUUGCACGAAU
Molecule: RNA transcript, 1366 nt
Organism: Rhipicephalus sanguineus (brown dog tick)
Lineage: Eukaryota; Metazoa; Arthropoda; Arachnida; Ixodida; Ixodidae
Exons: 4
Source: RefSeq, a predicted model, not a curated record